GGGAUUAUAGUAUAGUGGUCAGUAUAUCUCAUUGUGGUCUUCCGCAAGGUUCUGAGACGACGCAGGUUCGAUUCCUGCUAAUCCCA
Non-coding RNA from Lasiosphaeria hispida, 86 nucleotides. The record is from the annotation of a GenBank genome assembly. Lineage: Eukaryota; Fungi; Ascomycota; Sordariomycetes; Sordariales; Lasiosphaeriaceae.